Molecule: long non-coding RNA, 891 nt
Organism: Aethalodelphis obliquidens (Pacific white-sided dolphin)
Lineage: Eukaryota; Metazoa; Chordata; Mammalia; Artiodactyla; Delphinidae
Exons: 4
Source: RefSeq, a predicted model, not a curated record
UGGCUGCUGGGACAGGAGGGAAGGAAGUCAGUGGAGAUGCUGCCGGGAGACCCCUAUCAGCACCAAGCCCCGUCCUUCCUCUGCUCCAACCGAUGAAGGGUAGGGCAGGCAGGGGCCGGAACUAGGUGUGGAGCCAGCAGCCCAUCCCUGGCUGGCAGCCCCCCAGCCCCAGGGCUUCUCCCCAGAGCAGCAGAAGGGCAGCGUGCGCACAGGGGCAAGGCGGGAAGACUGACCCCCCACAGAUCGCAGUGACCCGCACGAGGAGUCGGGCCCCAGACCACAUGCCAACCAGGAAGCAAAGGCCAAGAAAGCAGGAGGCUGGUGGCUCCAGAGGGCUCAGGGGCCCCUGGACUCAGCCCUCGGAGCCAGAAUCACUGAGCCAGGCAAGGGAAGGCUGGCUGUCCCCAGCGAGGACAACCCCCAGCCAAAGAAUGGAAACCCAGAUGUCCCUUAGCGGUGAAGAGUUAACCAACUGUGAGCCUGGAGGCAUAAAAAGGAAGAGCUACUGAUACAGGCACCAACCUGCAGGAAUCUCCAGAGAAUCAUGAUGUGUGGAAAAAGCCAGUCCCCAAAGGUUACACACUGUAUGAUUCCCUUUAUAUAACAUCCUCGAAAUGACGAAAUUAUAGAAAUGGAGAGCACACUGGUGGUUGCCAGGGGUUAAACGUGGGGAGAAGGGAAGCGAGUGGGAAUAUAAGAAGGUGGGGAUGGAAAUACAUGUAUCUCAACUGUAUUGAUGGAGUUAGUACCCUCCUGUGAUACUGUGCUACAGUUUUGCAAGAUGUUACCACUAGGGAAAGCCAGUAAAGGACGCAGAGCUCUUUGUGUUAUUUCUUAUAACUGCUUAUAAAUCUAUAAUUCUCUCAAAAUAAAAAUUUACUUAAUGUACAA